AUGUUUCCAAUUGAAGCUGUAAUAGAUCCUUAUUCCAAGUCUCUAACCAGGUACAGAGGUUGCUACAUUAAGGGUAAGNNUAGAUGUCUGAUUGAAUCUUUCUCCCGCACAUGCCUGACAAGGGUGUCUAUUGUCACUUCAGGCAGAGUGGAUAGUGAGAGAGAGAGACAGAGAGAAAGGUCUUCGUUUUGCCGUUGGUUCAACACUGAAACUGUUUUAUUGUUAUGACCCUCCCAAUCAUUCUGAAAUUUUCAAGGUAUUUUAAAAGAAGACUACAUAAUAGCAGAGAAGCAAGUUCUGACACUUCAAUGAGAUCUGCUUGA
RNAcentral lists this long non-coding RNA (323 nucleotides) under Oryctolagus cuniculus (rabbit). Its description in RNAcentral is "lncRNA (ENSOCUG00000032161.1)". Lineage: Eukaryota; Metazoa; Chordata; Mammalia; Lagomorpha; Leporidae. The record is from RNAcentral.